CGUCGAAGAUUAUCGAUUGAUCGAUCGACUGGUAGAUUUUACAUUGCUAAUUAAGCUUUUUUGGUUGCAUUCCAAGUCCAUAAAGCUCAGUCAGCAAUGCAUGAUGUACUAGAAAUCCCUUUAUCCUUGAAAGGGUGAGGCAACUUCUUGGAAUACUGAGUGAGUUUAUCAUGCUGAGUUUUUGUUCACUUAGGUAAACAAAACUGGUUCAUUUCUUUGCAAUUUUUACCUGCUUUAAAAUUAUUGGAAUUUGUACUUGUUUCGUUAAGCUAAUAACGGCGGUAGGUACCUUCUCCGCUUUGGUUUUUAUUCUGAUUUGUUGCAGAGCACCAGUUUUAAUUCGAUCGAUCACAUCCGGACGUUUCCUGAUCACUUUUUUGAAAAUUUGAAAAACUGUUUUAGCAAGAAGACUCGAGUGAAGUGGUAAAACGGCAUUUUGUAAAAUUUAUUUGCUCGAGCCGAGUUGAUGUGGCAAAAUCUCUUCGUAACUAUAAGGGGUCCGGUACUAUCCCCGCUUGUCCUGUGUACGAUACAAUUGGUAAAGAACACCUGAAUCGAUCAACAACAACUGGCAACUUCGAUUUAUUUACCGUUCUAUCGAUUUAUGUAUUGUAAAUAUUUGUUAUGUCGCAACAUUACUAUUUUUUAAUAAAUGUAAUUUUUUGAA
Molecule: long non-coding RNA, 667 nt
Organism: Photinus pyralis (common eastern firefly)
Lineage: Eukaryota; Metazoa; Arthropoda; Insecta; Coleoptera; Lampyridae
Exons: 2
Source: RefSeq, a predicted model, not a curated record